This 76-nucleotide transfer RNA is filed under the name uncultured archaeon. Its description in RNAcentral is "tRNA-Val(cac)". It matches the Rfam family "tRNA". Rfam says of the family: Transfer RNA (tRNA) molecules are approximately 80 nucleotides in length. The record is from RNAcentral.
UGGGCCCGUGGUCUAGCUGGUUAUGACAUCGCCUUCACACGGCGGGGAUCACGCGUUCGAAUCGCGUCGGGCCCAU